AGGACGAACGCUGGCGGCGUGCUUAACACAUGCAAGUCAAGGGGGCCCAGCAAUGGGCAACCGGCGAACGGGUGCGUAACACGUGAGCAACCUACCGAACUGUGGGGGAUAGCCGGCCUAACGGCCGAGUAAUACCGCAUACGCUCUCAGAGAGGCAUUUCUUUGAGAGGAAACCUACGGGACAGAUCGAGGGGCUCGCGGCCUAUCAGCUAGUUGGCGAGGUAACGCUCACCAAGGCAACGACGGGUA
This 249-nucleotide ribosomal RNA is filed under the name uncultured soil bacterium. RNAcentral describes it as "partial 16S ribosomal RNA". It matches the Rfam family "Bacterial small subunit ribosomal RNA", at positions 26 to 285 of the family's 1533-position model. The record is from RNAcentral.